This 248-nucleotide long non-coding RNA is filed under the name Setaria italica (foxtail millet). RNAcentral's name for it is "long non-coding RNA (SITA_LNC002750)". Lineage: Eukaryota; Viridiplantae; Streptophyta; Magnoliopsida; Poales; Poaceae. The record is from RNAcentral.
CUUUUUUUUAUAUAGUGUCAAAGUUGGGAAUUUGGAGGGAACUAAACAUGACCCGAUUCAUCUUCUGGUGAAAAAAAAAAGAUAAAACAGGAGAACCACAUCACCCAACCCAAGUAGCCAAAUAGAACUAGAAGGGCCUGAACCAAAUUGCGGUAUCUGGUAUUCCGGGUCUUCUCUUGUCUUUUGGAGGAGGAUCGGUUUGCCUGACUCGUAUCGACGCUCCCAUCUGAACGUCGCGUCCAUCGGCG